This 491-nucleotide ribosomal RNA is filed under the name uncultured bacterium. RNAcentral describes it as "partial 16S ribosomal RNA". It matches the Rfam family "Bacterial small subunit ribosomal RNA", at positions 30 to 506 of the family's 1533-position model. The record is from RNAcentral.
AUUGAACGCUGGCGGUAGGCCUAACACAUGCAAGUCGAACGGCAGCACAGUAAGAGCUUGCUCUUACGGGUGGCGAGUGGCGUACGGGUGAGGAAUACAUCGGAAUCUACUUUUUCGUGGGGGAUAACGUAGGGAAACUUACGCUAAUACCGCAUACGACCUACGGGUGAAAGCAGGGGAUCUUCGGACCUUGCGCGAUUGAAUGAGCCGAUGUCGGAUUAGCUAGUUGGCGGGGUAAAGGCCCACCAAGACGACGAUCCGUAGCUGGUCUGAGAGGAUGAUCAGCCAAACUGGAACUGAGACACGGUCAAGACUCCUACGGGAGGCAGCAGUGGGGAAUAUUGGACAAUGGGCGCAAGCCUGAUCCAGCCAUACCGCGUGGGUGAAGAAGGCCUUCGGGUUGUAAAGCCCUUUUGUUGGGAAAGAAAAGCAGCAGGUUAAUACCCCGCUGUUCUGACGGUACCCAAAGAAUAAGCACCGGCUAACUUCGU